AAAAAUGUGGUUUUAAUUUAAGGUUAGGCAUAAGGUUAUCUGUGUGGUUAAGGUUAGGUUUAAAAUAACAUUUUAAGAAGACACAUUGUAGAAAUAGGCGGGAUUUAUGACUGUGCUUAUUUAUGUAUGUAUGUGAUGUGGUUAGGAAACUAGCAACAUAUUAGAAAUGCAAGGAACGCCUCCUUAAUGAACAUGUUGCAAACCAUAAAACAGAUUUACAAAUAAUUUCAAGAAGUGAACAAGAAAAGCAAGUUGUGUGCACUGGCACUUAUUUUUUUUGUAGCUAGUGUACUCAAUGGUCGUGGUGUCGAGAUAAAGUAGCUGAAUAUUGUCUCGCGGCAAAGCGAGGAAAGAACGUUGCGUAGUUGCUAGUAAGCGAGAAGACUUACCAAAAUGUCAGAUUCAUACUCAGGUCCAGAGUUUGUGGACUACGAUGAUAUCAGACACGGGGCAAAAUUUAUCUAUGUCAAAAACAGCCCCUUUGUAGCCCUGCAACCUCCAGAUGAUAAAUAUGAGCGAUGGAAUAAAAUCCCUGUCAGUUUGAAAAAGAAAGCGGCACAGUUGAUGCAUGUAUCUGCCUUUUGGUAUCACAUUCUGUUUUGUCGAGAGAAUCACAACACCACAUGCUGGGCUGUGCAAGUGGGCUUCCUAGAUUCAAAUUAUUAGAAGAUCAGACAAGGCAUAUGAUCUGGAUAAGCAAUACAUUUAACUUGAGCAACAUGGUUUCUUGCCCCUCUAUUUUCUAUUAAGGAAGUAUCCACGCAGCAAGGUAAUUAUUCAUAAGAAUACAAUAAUGUUCUCUUCAUGCCUGGGAAAUGGGGCACAAUGCUCCUUAGUGUUUGUGGAAGCCAAAGGGUAGGGUGCCCAUCUUCAUUGGUUAAGAACUCCUCAGGAAUCUAUUUAUACCCUGCUGACCUGGUAUAUACCCAGGAGAAAAGGAAACCAGAAUGUCCUGUUUGGUGGUGGUAAAUUUGAAUCGCUGCUUUCAUUGGAGUCAUUCGUCAACCUGAUUUGUCACAUGGAAUAUCUAGCAACUUGAUGUGCAUGAAUUUCCCAUUAUCACCCAUUGCCAUUUGGUGUGUUGUCCCUAGCGCUGGGCGAUAUGGCCAAAAUAUAAUAAUGCCAUCAUUCUGAAAAAUAGUGAUAUUUUACAUUUCUUAAUAGUAAAAGUUAAAAAUAGGCUUAGUAUGUAGCACAUGACCUUAACAUGGCAUCAAAUUAAUAGUAAGUGGUUUUAAUGGGCUUUCUUCACUCUGUCAGUUUGGUCAAAACAAAAUCAAAGUAUUCUUAUUUAACACUAUCAAAAUACCUUUUAUAGUGGGUAUUGUAGAAUUUCAUACCGGUAUGUGGAUCCAUACCGGUAUACCUUAGAAUACAAUAUAUCGCCCAGCCCUAAUUGUCUUAUGACGAUGGUAAGGACUAAAUCAGUGUUUUGUUGAUUGAUAACUUUCUGGUCAGCAUGUGCUCGAGGUCCUGGAUGACACGAUAUGCUGGCUGGAGCAGACAGGAGAGCCCCGCAUCAAGCAGCAGGUUCAGGAGCUGGGCCCCAGAGGGAACUGCUUUGCUGCUCUUCAACUCAUCUUCGCUGAGUAUGCUCACUAUACACAGGCCAUGGGAGUCAGUAGAAAAAAAUGUAUGUGAGAGGUUGCACAGGGCCCGUGCCAGUGGUUUGAGGUACUUUUCCCCUUAUUUCCUUGGAAAAGUGAAGAGAUGAAGGCUAAAGGAAGUGAUCAGUUUCAGAAAAAGAAGUAUGAUGCAGCAGUCAAGUAUUACUCAAAAGCCAUCAAAUAUCAGUAAGUGCUAUUUUUUUUGUUUUAAAGGCCAAAUGCAGUCACAUGUGAUUGUCCUGUUUUUAUAUCUCUCUCUCUCUAUCUAGAAGUUUGAUGUAGAGCUUGGAUCAAUCAGAACCUCCCCUAAUUGCCGUCUACAGGAUUGGUAUUCUUAGUUGACUUUUUCCACAUUUUGUUACAUUACAGCCUUAUUCUAAAAUAGAUUACAUGUAAAAAAAAAAUAUAUAUAUAUAUAUAUAUAUCUCACCAAAUUCUCCCGGCUGUACCCGGGGUCCCUUGCCAUCCAAGAUCUCCUCCCAAGUCCAGGAGUCUUAAACCCGCUGCUCCUGGGUACCACGCUGCUUGGUCCGGUUGUGGUGGGGGUUUCUGUAACUCUCGUCCUCUUCUUCUAACGAGGAGUCGCAAGGAUUGGACCAAAGCGCAGAGUGGUCUACCAGACAGAGUUGCUGGAGGAGCUGGGCACGGAUUUGGCCGCAGUAGAGCCCCAUGGGUGGCACACCCUUGCUACAUAUUCGUCGCCAGACCCACUGGCUCCAGGUCAUCUACAAGUCCAUGCUAGUUGUCUGCUGCCUGUGAUUGGAACGAAUUGCAAAAAUCGCUGAAGUUGGAGACUUUUGUCUCCCUCACCAACUUCAAACAUCUGCUAUCUGAGCAGCUAACCGAUCGCUGCAGCUGUACAUAGUCUAUCGGUCCUUUGGGGGCCACCUUCCUGAAGGCCGACACGGAAGUGCUCCGCCGGCUAAGUGAGAUGCCCGGGGGACCGAGCCGGGCACCAGGUCAGACCAGCCUGGUUCCCAGGCGCAAUGCCUGUCUGCCUGGUACAAGCGCGGCGUUGCUUCCAGGGGCGAAGUGAGAGAUGGUCCUGCCACAGCGCAUCUAGCUCGGUGUGGCACGGCAUUGGGUCCUGCCUUGUCAGCUGCCCCAAACAUCUGUGGUGACAACAGUACUCCCAUGACCUAUCGGGGUACAUCACAGAUGGCCGAAGCCCCCCCGAACCCAGAGUGGACCAGGAUUCAAACAAACAUUUGCACCGAAAUACAUUGUUUCAACCCCAUUGUUUUCAGGUUUCAGGAGUUUUGUGAGUUCAAUAAAACAUGUCCCUCCACAUUCAGACAAGGUUUUCAAGAGUGGUGGAGGUAAAAAAAAAAAAAAAAUCUCCCAGUCAUGCUCCCUCAGA
This is a long non-coding RNA of Oncorhynchus tshawytscha (Chinook salmon), 2967 nucleotides long. RefSeq lists it as uncharacterized. The transcript has 11 exons. NCBI's taxonomy places the organism in Eukaryota, Metazoa, Chordata, Actinopteri, Salmoniformes, Salmonidae. The record is from RefSeq and is a predicted model, not a curated record.